RNAcentral lists this ribosomal RNA (253 nucleotides) under uncultured bacterium. RNAcentral describes it as "partial 16S ribosomal RNA". It matches the Rfam family "Bacterial small subunit ribosomal RNA", at positions 524 to 776 of the family's 1533-position model. The record is from RNAcentral.
GACGUAGGGGGCGAGCGUUGUCCGGAUUUACUGGGCGUAAAGAGCGCGCAGGCGGUCGUUCAAGUCGCGUGUGAAAGCCCCCGGCUCAACUGGGGAGGGUCACGCGAUACUGAUCGACUCGAAGGCAGGAGAGGGAAGUGGAAUUCCCGGUGUAGUGGUGAAAUGCGUAGAUAUCGGGAGGAACACCAGUGGCGAAGGCGACUUCCUGGCCUGUUCUUGACGCUGAGGCGCGAAAGCUAGGGGAGCAAACGGG